GUGAGGAAUAUUGGUCAAUGGGCGGGAGCCUGAACCAGCCAAGUCGCGUGAAGGAAGAAGGAUCUAUGGUUCGUAAACUUCUUUUGAGGGGGAAUAAAGUGCAGGACGUGUCCUGUUUUGUAUGUACCCUGAGAAUAAGGAUCGGCUAACUCCGUGCCAGCAGCCGCGGUAAUACGGAGGAUCCGAGCGUUAUCCGGAUUUAUUGGGUUUAAAGGGUGCGUAGGUGGCUUGAUAAGUUAGCGGUGAAAGUUUGCAGCUUAACUGUAAAAAUGCCGUUGAGACUGUCGGACUUGAGUGUAAAUGAGGUAGGCGGAAUGCGUGGUGUAGCGGUGAAAUGCAUAGAUAUCACGCAGAACUCCGAUUGCGAAGGCAGCUUACUAAGCUACAACUGACACUGAAGCACGAAAGCGUGGGGAUCAAACAGGAUUAGAUACCCUAGUAGUCC
RNAcentral lists this ribosomal RNA (445 nucleotides) under uncultured bacterium. RNAcentral's name for it is "partial 16S ribosomal RNA". It matches the Rfam family "Bacterial small subunit ribosomal RNA", at positions 354 to 796 of the family's 1533-position model. The record is from RNAcentral.